Molecule: ribosomal RNA, 164 nt
Filed under: uncultured bacterium
Lineage: Bacteria
Description: partial 16S ribosomal RNA
Rfam family: Bacterial small subunit ribosomal RNA
Source: RNAcentral
UACCGGAGGCAGCAGUGGGGAAUUUUGGACAAGGGGCGAAAGCCUGAUCCAGCCAUGCCGCGUGGGUGAAGAAGGCAUUCGGGUGUAAAGCUAUUUAUCUGGGAAGAGGAAGAAACAUUUAAUACCUUGGGGGAAGACGGACCGGAAGAAUAAGCACCGGCUAA